Molecule: ribosomal RNA, 556 nt
Filed under: uncultured bacterium
Lineage: Bacteria
Description: bacterial SSU rRNA
Rfam family: Bacterial small subunit ribosomal RNA
Source: RNAcentral
GGCCCGCACAAGCGGUGGAGCAUGUGGUUUAAUUCGAUGCAACGCGAAGAACCCUACCUACUCUUGACAUCCAGAGAAUUUAGCAGAGAUGCUUUAGUGCCUUCGGGAACUCUGAGACAGGUGCUGCAUGGCUGUCGUCAGCUCGUGUUGUGAAAUGUUGGGUUAAGUCCCGCAACGAGCGCAACCCUUAUCCUUUGUUGCCAGCGAUUCGGUCGGGAACUCAAAGGAGACUGCCGGUGAUAAACCGGAGGAAGGUGGGGAUGACGUCAAGUCAUCAUGGCCCUUACGAGUAGGGCUACACACGUGCUACAAUGGCGUAUACAAAGAGAAGCGACCUCGCGAGAGCAAGCGGAACUCAUAAAGUACGUCGUAGUCCGGAUUGGAGUCUGCAACUCGACUCCAUGAAGUCGGAAUCGCUAGUAAUCGUAGAUCAGAAUGCUACGGUGAAUACGUUCCCGGGCCUUGUACACACCGCCCGUCACACCAUGGGAGUGGGUUGCAAAAGAAGUAGGUAGCUUAACCUUCGGGAGGGCGCUUACCACUUUGUGAUUCAUGA